GACGAACGCUGGCGGCGUGCUUAACACAUGCAAGUCGAACGAAGUGGCGAACGGGUGAGUAAUACGUGAGGAACCUGCCUUUCACAGGGGACUAACACUGGGAAACCAGUGCUAAUACCGCAUAGUGAAAGAUGGCCUCGCGCCUGAUUAGCUAGUAGGUGAGGUAACGGCUCACCUAGGUGAUGAUCAGUAGCCGGCCUGAAGGUUGAGCGGCAGCAUGGGGACUGAGACACGGACCAGACUACUACGGGAGGCAGCAGUGGGGAAUAUUGGGCAAUGGCGCAAGCCUGACCCAGCAACGCCGCGUGAAGGAAGACGGUCUUCGGAUUGGAAACUUCUUUAGACAGGGACGCGGUACCUGUAGAAUAAGCCACGGCUAACUACGUGCCAGCAGCCGCGGUAAUAC
RNAcentral lists this ribosomal RNA (406 nucleotides) under uncultured bacterium. Its description in RNAcentral is "partial 16S ribosomal RNA". It matches the Rfam family "Bacterial small subunit ribosomal RNA", at positions 28 to 526 of the family's 1533-position model. The record is from RNAcentral.